This 1771-nucleotide long non-coding RNA is filed under the name Carica papaya (papaya). RNAcentral's name for it is "long non-coding RNA (CPAP_LNC012078)". The record is from RNAcentral. Lineage: Eukaryota; Viridiplantae; Streptophyta; Magnoliopsida; Brassicales; Caricaceae.
UCUAUAAUCUUUCUAGUUGUCGAUCACAUACCAGAGCUCUUAUCCAUUUCCAUCCAAAUCAAAGUAGAAGCUGUUGCUUGAAGAAGUUAUGCCUUUGUCCUCCUAAUCAGAAACACCAUCUCAAUAUUUGGCAGUUCUUGCUUUUGACUCCUCUACUUAACUAUUAUCUUGUGUUGUCGGCUGCGGUGUGUUUCCCUUAAAACCAAAGAGCAUGAGACCAAUUUUUGUGGGUGUUGUGGGGAUCCAACCUCAAUAUUUGUAUUCCAUCUUAUAUAGCAUAUUGCUGUAAAGGUGCCAGCUGAUCCUUAAAGGGAUCUUUGUUUUGUGCCUGUAAGAUAAUGUGUGGCUUAUGAGAGUGCCUCUGCAUUCUGUAGCUAUUUCCUGACUGGGAGUUGCUUGACAUAGACAAGAAGUUAAGCUUAGUAUCUGCCUUUAUCCCUCUAACUAGAAACACCAUCUCAGUAUUUGGCAAUUUUUACUUCUGACUCAUUUACUUAACUAUUACUUUGUGUUGCCUGCUGCAGCUUACUUCCCUCAAAACCAAAGAGUGUGAAGCCAUUGUGGGGAUCCCAAAAUUCAAUAUUUGUAUUCCAUCUUCUAUAGAUAUGUAAUUCUAUAUUUGAAAGACUACCAAGCUGAUCGUUCAAGGGAUCUCCGUUUUGUACAUGUAAGAGAAUGUUUGGCUUUAUGAGAGUGCCUCCGCAGUCUGCACUUAUUUCCUGACUGGUAUGUGCCUGUAUUAAUUAUCUAGAACUCUGGUGAUUUACUUAUUAUACAUUGUUGUCAUUUUUUUAAACAUCUGACUCAACUAGUAAGAUAUGACUAUUUUAAGAAAGUCGUGCAAUUCAGAUGGCAUAUUAAUCAAUACUUAGUACUAUAUUCUACACCAAAAGUUUGCACUUGGUUACAAGUUUCAUUUUAAAACAAAGAAAAUUGAUUCAACCCAAUUGCUUAGUUCAUUAUAGAACCCUAUUUGUUGGUUUGACACUGUCAAGAAGGCUGCAGAGUUGGAGAUCUCCACUUGUUAGGAUGAACUUUCAAAUUCUCACUUCUGUAGGUUAAACAAAUAAGUACUAAAUAUGAUGGCUUAUCGUUUAUCAUAAAUUUGCUCGCACUUUGAAUGACAGUAAUGAUGAUUGAUUCCUGAAGGGGGUAUAUAUCUUCAUAUUCUUCUUCCUUGUCAGUGUAUGAUUUUUGUUUUUUCUAAACUAUAGGCUGCCUUCAAAAGUUCAAAUGUAUAUACCAUGACAGAAACGACUAUUGAUUCAUGAAGGAUGUAAAUAUUUCAUAUUAUCCUUUUGUGUCAGUAUAUAACUUUUGUGUUCUAUAUAAUAGGCUGCCCUUGAAGAUUCAAAUGUAUCUGCAGUAUGAUACUGAUGUUGCUAGAAAAUGAAAAUGUAUCUUUUCAGUCAUGAAGAGUUGUCAGAAAUUCCUUUAAACUUCUCAGAUAAAAGGAGAAUCAAUCCAGCUAAGGACCCUGGCUUAUCUUGGUUGAUGAAAGUAGAUGCUUGCAGCUCUAAAAGACUGAAAUGUGGCUCCAGGAAUUGGGAGCUUUAUAAAAAACAGAAAUAGGCCAGAGGUGAAAUGAUCAAAUGGAUUGACUAAAGAUGCGCCCACAGGAUCACUAUUUCAAUGAAAAGUUGAGCGUUUAUAACCCGUAUGUUUUUUUUCUAUUCUCCAACUCAGGAUCUUCAUUCAUAUAGCAUCCCUCCAGUGACUGCACAAAGCCCAGGGAGAUCGAGGAAGCUCCUAGCGGCUCCAUGAGUCUCGU